CUUUAUUGGAGAGUUUGAUCCUGGCUCAGGACGAACGCUGGCGGCAUGCCUAAUACAUGCAAGUCGAGCGGACUUGAAGAGAAGCUUGCUUCUCUGAUGGUUAGCGGCGGACGGGUGAGUAACACGUAGGCAACCUGCCCUCAAGUUUGGGACAACUACCGGAAACGGUAGCUAAUACCGAAUAGUUGUUUUC
RNAcentral lists this ribosomal RNA (193 nucleotides) under Paenibacillus sp. RU26A. Its description in RNAcentral is "16S rRNA. Bacterial SSU". It matches the Rfam family "Bacterial small subunit ribosomal RNA", at positions 1 to 184 of the family's 1533-position model. Lineage: Bacteria; Bacillati; Bacillota; Bacilli; Caryophanales; Paenibacillaceae. RNAcentral also lists the same sequence under 2 other names. The record is from RNAcentral.